UCCUCUCAUAAUAAAGGGUUGGAAUUCAUAUGUAGCCUGUAGAAUGUUUCUGCAAAGCCUUUGUGAGGAUGCAUGUUCUAUAACUGAACUCCAGCCAUGGUUCUCAUUCUCCCUAUAUACACAAGCCAGUCACUAGAUGAGAGCCACGGUGCUCAUUCUCCCUAUACACACAAGCCAGUCACUAGAUGAGAGCCACGGUUCUCAUUCUCCCUAUACACACAAGCCAGUCACUAGAUGAGAGCCACGGUGCUCAUUCUCCCUAUACACACAAGCCAGUCACUAGACGAGAGCCACGGUGCUCAUUCUCCCUAUACACACAAGCCAGUCACUAGACGAGAGCCAAGGUUCUCAUUCUCCCUAUACACACAAGCCAGUCACUAGACGAGAGCCACGGUUCUCAUUCUCCCUAUACACACAAGCCAGUCACUAGAUGAGAGCCAAGGUGCUCAUUCUCCCUAUACACACAAGCCAGUCACUAGACGAGAGCCACGGUUCUCAUUCUCCCUAUACACACAAGCCAGUCACUAGACGAGAGCCACGGUUCUCAUUCUCCCUAUACACACAAGCCAGUCACUAGACGAGAGCCACGGUUCUCAUUCUCCCUAUACACACAAGCCAGUCACUAGACGAGAGCCACGGUUCUCAUUCUCCCUAUACACACAAGCCAGUCACUAGACGAGAGCCACG
Molecule: long non-coding RNA, 687 nt
Organism: Oncorhynchus keta (chum salmon)
Lineage: Eukaryota; Metazoa; Chordata; Actinopteri; Salmoniformes; Salmonidae
Exons: 5
Source: RefSeq, a predicted model, not a curated record